This 3573-nucleotide long non-coding RNA is filed under the name Salmo salar (Atlantic salmon). Its description in RNAcentral is "lncRNA (ENSSSAG00000116746.1)". Lineage: Eukaryota; Metazoa; Chordata; Actinopteri; Salmoniformes; Salmonidae. The record is from RNAcentral.
CUACGGCUUCCACUAGAUGUCAACGAUCUUUAUAAAGUUGUUUGAAGCGUCUAUGAUAAACAGAGAGCAAAUUAGAAUCCAAGGAAGUUGACAUGUCAUCACUUCAUUUUUUUGCGCCUGCGCAUAAAUCUGAGAGACGUCAGUUUGUCAUCAUUUUUAUCUAGACAUAGGAUAGGUUGUGUGAAAAUAUUACUGAUGUUUAACGUUAAAAAUGGACCAAAAGAUUAAUGCUAAACAACAUUUGACAUGUUUGAACGAACAUAAAUAGAUUAUUUACUAGUUUCUUUUAGCUUUUCGGCGUGAUUUUACCAGCCCCACACCACGUUUUGUGGGAGCAUAAUGAACGCUAAGUACUUGGUGUUAUUUGGACAUAAAUUAUGAACUUUGUCAAAAGAAACCACAUUUGUUCCGGACCUGGAAUGCCUUCCGGACCUGGGAUCCUGCCUUCUGAUGGAGAUAAUCAAAGGUUAAUGAAGUAGAAGUCCUGGGAGUGCAUUCUGACGAAGAACACCAAAGGGGCUGAAUCACUGGCUUACUGGUGCUCUUCCAUGCCGUCCAAAGGAGGGGUGAGUCACUUGAGUGGGUUGAGUCACUGAUGUGAUCUUCCUGUCCAGGUUGGCACCCCCCCCUUGGGUUGUGCCGUGGCGAAGAUCUUCGUGGGCUGUACUCGGCCUUGUCUCAGGAUGAGGACCUGAGCCCUAGGACCAUGCCUCAGGACUACCUGGCCUGAUGACUCCUUGCUGUCCCCAGUCCACCUGGCCGUGCUGCUGCUCAAGUUUCAACUGUUCUGCCUGCGGCUAUGGAACCCUGACCUGUUCACCGGACGUGCUACCUGUCCCAGACCUGCUGUUUUCAACUCUCUAGAGACAGCAGGAGCGGUAGAGAUACUCUGAAUGAUCGGCUAUGAAAAGCCAACUGACAUUUACUCCUGAGGUGCUGACCUGUUGCACCCUCGACAACCAAUGUGAUUAUUAUUAUUUGACCCUGCUGGUCAUCUAUGAACAUUUGAACAUCUUGGCCAUGUUCUGUUAUAAUCUCCACGGCACAGCCAGAAGAGGACUGGCCACCCCUCAUAGCCUGUUUCCUCUCUAGGUUUCUUCCCAGGUUCUGGCCUUUCUAGGGAGUUUUUCCUAGCCACCAUGCUUCUACACCUGCAUUGCUUGCUCUUUGGGGUUUUAGGCUGGGUUUCUGUACAGCACUUUGUGACAUCAGCUCAUGUAAGAAGGGCUUUAUAAAUACAUUUGAUUGAUUGAUUACCAUGUAUGUCAUUACCCUGGAUAGCUCCAAGUAGUGUCAUUACCCUGGAUAGCUCCAAUACGUUUCAGUACCCUGGAUAGCUCCAGUACGUUUCAGUACCAUGGAUAGCUCCAAUACGUUUCAGUACCCUGGAUAGCUCCAAGUAGAGUCAUUACCCUGGACAGCUCCAAGUAGUGUCAAUACCCUGGAUAGCUCCAAGUAUCGUCAUUACCCUGGAUAGCUCCAAGUAUUGUCAUUACCCUGGAUAGCUCCAAGUAUUGUCAUUACCCUGGAUAGCUCCAAUAAGUUUCAUUACCCUGGACAGCUCCAAGUAGUGACAUUACCCUGGAUAGCUCCAAGUAGUGACAUUACCCUGGAUAGAUCCAAGAAGUUUCAUUUCCCUGGACAGCUCCCUAAGUAGUGUCAGUACACAAAUCAAAUCUAAUCAAAUGUUCUUUGUCACAUGCACCAAAUACAACAGGUGUAGACCUUACAGUGGAAUGCUUACUUAUGAACCCUUAAUCAACAAUGCAGUUUUAAGAAAAAUACCUACAAAAAUAAGAAAUAAAAGUAACAAAAAAAUUAAAGAGCAGCAGUAAAAUAACAAUAGCGAGGCUAUAUACAGGGGGUACCAUUACAGAAUCAAUGUGUGGGGGCACCGGUUAGUUGAGAUAAUUGAGGUAAUAUAAACAUGUAGUAGAAUUUUUAAAGUGACUAUGCAUAGAUACUAAACAAAAUGGCAGCAGCGAAAAAGAGGGUGGGGGUGGGGGAGCAAUGCAAAUAGUCUGGGUAGCCAUUUGAUUAGAUGUUCAGGAGUCUUAUGGCUUUGGGGUAGAAGAUGUUUAGAAGCCUCUUGGACCUAGACUUGGCGCUCUGGUACCACCUGCCAUGCGGUAGCAGACAGGACAGUCAAUGACUAGGGUGGCUGGAGUCUUUGACAGUUUUUAGGGUUUUCUUUGACACCACCUGGAAUAGAGUUCCUGGAUGGCAGGAAGCUUGGCCCCAGUGAUGUACUGGGCCAUACGCACUACCCUCUGUAGUGCCUUGCGGUUGUAAGCCGAGCAGUUGCCAUACUAGGCAGUGAUGCAAGCAGUCAGGAUGCUCUCGAUGGUGCAGCUGUAGGACCUUUGAGGAUCUGAGGACCCAUGCCAAAUCUUUUCAGUCUCCUGAGGGGGAAUAGGUUUUGUCAUGCCCUCUUCAUGACUGUCUUGGUGUGCAUGGACCAGGUUAGUUUGUUGGUGAUGUAGGCACCAAGGUUCUUGAAGCUCUCAACCUGCUCCGCUACAGUCCCGUCAAUGAGAAUGGGGGCGUUCUCGGUCCUCCUUUUCCUGUAGUCCACAAUCAUCUCCUUUGUCUUGAUCACAUUGAGGGAGAGGUUGUUAUACUGGCACCACACAGCCAGGUCUCUAACCUCCUUCCUAUAGGCUGUCUCAUCGUUGUCGGUGAUCAGGCCUCCCACUGUUUCCUCCGGAAACUUAAUGAUGGUGUUGGAGUCCUUCCUGGCCAUGCAGUCAUGAGUGAACAGGGAGUACAGGAGUGGCUGAGCACGCACCACUGAGGGGCCCCCGUGUUGAGGAUCAGCAUGGCGGAUAUGUUGUUACCUACCCUUACCACCUGGGGGCGUCCCGUCAGGAAGUCCAGGAUCCAGUUGCAGAGGGAUGUGUUUAGUCCCAUUGUCCUUAGCUUAGUGAUGAGUUUUGAGGGCACUAUGGUUUUGAACUAGUCAAUGAAUAGAAUUCUCACAUAAGUGUUACUUUUGUCCAGGUGUGGAGGGUAGUGUGGAGUGCAAUAGAGAUUGCAUCAUCUGUGGAUCUGUUUGGGUGAUAUGCAAAUUGGAGUGGGUCUAGGGUUUCCGGGAUAAUGGUGUUGAUGUGAGCCAUGACCAGCCUUGCAAAGCACUUCAUGGCUACAGACAUGAGUGCUACGGAUUGGUAGUCAUUUAGGCAGGUUACCUUCGUGUUCUUGGGCACAGGGACUAUGGUAGUCUGCUUGAAACAUGUUGGUAUUACAGACUCAGACAUGGAGAGGAUGAACAUUUCAGUGAAGAUACUUGCCAGUUGGUCAGUGCAUUCCCGGAGUACAUGUCCUCGUAAUCCGUCUGGCCCUGCGGCCUUGUGAAUGUUGACCUGUUUAAAGAUCUUACUCACAUCGGCUAUGGAGAGCGUGAUCACACAUUCAUACGGAACAGCUGAUGCUCUCACGAAUGUUUCAGUGCUAAUUGCCUUGAUGCGAGCAUGGAAGAAAUUUGGCUUGUCUUUUCGGCUUGUGUCACUGAGCAACUGUAUUGACUCAUUGCCUGUUUGAUGGUUCGUCGGAGGGCAUAGUGGGAUUUGUUUU